UACGUAGGCAGCGAGCGUUGUUCGGAGUUACUGGGCGUAAAGAGUGCGUAGGCGGUUUUCUAAGUUUGGUGUGAAAUCUCCCGGCUUAACUGGGAGGGUGCGCCGAAGACUGGAAGGCUUGAGUAUGGGAGAGGUAAGCGGAAUUCCUGGUGUAGCGGUGAAAUGCGUAGAUAUCAGGAGGAACACCGAUGGCGAAGGCAGGUCUCUGGGCCGAUACUGACGCUGAGGAGCGAAAGCGUGGGGAGCGAACAGG
RNAcentral lists this ribosomal RNA (253 nucleotides) under uncultured bacterium. RNAcentral describes it as "partial 16S ribosomal RNA". It matches the Rfam family "Bacterial small subunit ribosomal RNA", at positions 524 to 776 of the family's 1533-position model. The record is from RNAcentral.